This 253-nucleotide ribosomal RNA is filed under the name [Lactobacillus] rogosae. RNAcentral describes it as "Lactobacillus rogosae partial 16S ribosomal RNA". It matches the Rfam family "Bacterial small subunit ribosomal RNA", at positions 524 to 776 of the family's 1533-position model. Lineage: Bacteria; Bacillati; Bacillota; Clostridia; Lachnospirales; Lachnospiraceae. The record is from RNAcentral.
UACGGAAGGUCCGGGCGUUAUCCGGAUUUAUUGGGUUUAAAGGGAGUGUAGGUGGCCAGGCAAGUCAGAAGUGAAAGCCCGGGGCUCAACCCCGGGACUGCUUUUGAAACUGUGGAGCUGGAGUGCAGGAGAGGCAAGUGGAAUUCCUAGUGUAGCGGUGAAAUGCGUAGAUAUUAGGAGGAACACCAGUGGCGAAGGCGGCUUGCUGGACUGUAACUGACACUGAGGCUCGAAAGCGUGGGGAGCAAACAGG